Molecule: ribosomal RNA, 429 nt
Filed under: Chloroflexota bacterium
Lineage: Bacteria; Bacillati; Chloroflexota
Description: Chloroflexi bacterium partial 16S ribosomal RNA
Rfam family: Bacterial small subunit ribosomal RNA
Source: RNAcentral
UGGGGAAUAUUGCACAAUGGGCGCAAGCCUGAUGCAGCCAUGCCGCGUGUAUGAAGAAGGCCUUCGGGUUGUAAAGUACUUUCAGCGAGGAGGAAGGGAGUAAAGUUAAUACCUUUGCUCAUUGACGUUACCCGCAGAAGAAGCACCGGCUAACUCCGUGCCAGCAGCCGCGGUAAUACGGAGGGUGCAAGCGUUAAUCGGAAUUACUGGGCGUAAAGCGCACGCAGGCGGUUUGUUAAGUCAGAUGUGAAAUCCCCGGGCUCAACCUGGGAACUGCAUCUGAUACUGGCAAGCUUGAGUCUCGUAGAGGGGGGUAGAAUUCCAGGUGUAGCGGUGAAAUGCGUAGAGAUCUGGAGGAAUACCGGUGGCGAAGGCGGCCCCCUGGACGAAGACUGACGCUCAGGUGCGAAAGCGUGGGGAGCAAACAGG